GCCGGGGUAGCCUAGCCUGGGAAGGCGCGGGACUCGAGAUCCCGUGGGCGUGGUCCCACCGGGGUUCAAAUCCCCGCCCCGGCGCCA
Molecule: transfer RNA, 87 nt
Filed under: Pyrococcus horikoshii
Lineage: Archaea; Methanobacteriati; Methanobacteriota; Thermococci; Thermococcales; Thermococcaceae
Also listed under: 1 other name
Description: tRNA-Ser
Rfam family: tRNA
About the family: Transfer RNA (tRNA) molecules are approximately 80 nucleotides in length. Their secondary structure includes four short double-helical elements and three loops (D, anti-codon, and T loops). Further hydrogen bonds mediate the characteristic L-shaped molecular structure. tRNAs have two regions of fundamental functional importance: the anti-codon, which is responsible for specific mRNA codon recognition, and the 3' end, to which the tRNAs corresponding amino acid is attached (by aminoacyl-tRNA synthetases). tRNAs cope with the degeneracy of the genetic code in two manners: having more than one tRNA (with a specific anti-codon) for a particular amino acid; and 'wobble' base-pairing, i.e. permitting non-standard base-pairing at the 3rd anti-codon position.
Source: RNAcentral